GUGAGCUCUAUUUUAAUAUAAAAUCUGUAAAGAGAGGCUUUCCAAAAACAUGGGUUACUGGAUGGCUGGACUCUUUGCAAUCCAGAACAGUGGAUGCAGCAAGACUGUGUGAACUAUGGGGUAUUUGUGUGCACUGUAAGGUUUAUUUCUCACUUCACUAUAAAAAUGUUUUCAAUGGAAAAGUGUUGUCUUGGGAUGUGAACAACAAUGUCUUUUUUAUUUUUUUAUAAAGACAGCAGAAAUGGAAGCAAAAAACAUAAAAAUGUCAUCUGAAGUGCUUCAAACAUUUCAGCUAGUACACCUACAUGUUUAAGAUUUGAAAGAUGUGACAAUUGAAGUAAGAGAAAUAGGAAUUAAGAGUUUCAAAUCACAUUUAACAAAAAGAGAAUAUUACAAUUCAUAUGUACUGCUGGACAGGACUUUCCGCCUGCAAUUGGUGAAACAGAGGAAAGUGAAAUAGAGACCAACAUCUGCAUGGCCCAGGACAUAAAAGCCUGCAUUUAUCAAAACACAGAAGAUAAGUCAUAUGGUAUGUGCAAGUUUUGGUGUAAAUUAAUUUUGCUGCUGUUAAAAUUACAAUAAUGUUUGUUUUUAGAACACACAUCAAACGUACGAAGUGGGUUCAGUGUGACCUGUGCAACAAAUGAUUACAGUCAGAUUGCUCUGGCAUAGACCCUAAAACAAUUACUAAAGACACACCCUUCAGCUGUGGAUGUGAUGAAGAACAGCCAUAUUCUUUUCAAAGGUUAGCAACAGAACUAUUGUCAGACACAAGAUGGGAACACAGAGGUAGUUGAACGUGACACAGGUGAAGCACAGGUUUCAGACACAGGUGAAGCAACAGGAAUAGUCUUGACAGGAAGAAGGUUGGAACUUAGCUCUGGUUGUGAUGGAAGUAGAUGACAGAAUCGGAAGGCGGCACAGAGGAACUGACGAGGAAGGAACAACGGGUACUCCUCCAUGGCCUUCUGUUCCGGGAUGGACAGUGGGUAGAUCCGACCCUUUGGGAGGGUCGCUCCAGGCAGGAGGUCGAUGGCACAGUCCCAUGGCCGAUGAGGUGGUAAACGUGUAGCCAACCGCUUGCUGAAUACAUCCUGGAACGCCCAGUACGCUGGUGGGAUUUCCACUAUCACAUUAGUCGCCGGGCUCUCCACAGAGGUGGACAGGACAGGAAGAUGAUCAGGAGUUGCGGGAGAUUUCGGUUGGGGCUUUCUUGGGCGAUUAAUACACUUCUCAAAACAUUCAUCACUCCAUUUGAGAAUCUCACCGGUUGCCCAUUGGAUAUGUGGCUGGUGGGCGUUUAACCAGGGGCGUCCCAGGAUGAUGUCCGCGGUUGACUCCUCCAGCACCAUGAACGUGAUUUCCUCCAUAUGCAGGCUGCCAACAUGGAGGAAUAGUGUGGGGGAGUAAUGGCGGACACGACCUCUACCCAGCGGCUUUCCUUGGAUGGUGAGUAUUCUCAGGUCGACUGGGCAUUUCUUCUGACGAACAUUUAAUUCUUGGAGGAUUUGGGUGCUAAUGAAGUUCCCAGCCAACCCAGAGUCGAUGAGGGCUUGCGCUGAAACACAGGAAUGAGAAUUACCGACAUGGACCAGAGUCUUAAUGAGUUGAAAGGUUUGAGGUGGAAAUUGGAGUGUACUCACCGCUGGGUGUGGAGGUAGGACCGGGCAGUUGGAAAUCACAUGUCCGUCUCCCCCACAAUAAAAACACAGGCGAUUAUUCAGCCAUCGAAGACGCUCCGCGUUGGUCAGAUGGUUUGAAUCAACCUGCAUUGGUUCAGGUGCUGGGGCAGCAACAGAUGUUGAAGCAGGCAGAGGAUUGACAGCGGGAGUAUUCAUGUGGGAGAAGUAUAAACGUUGUGACACUCUGAUAGUCUUCUGAAUAAGAUUCUCAAGUCCCAUGGUGUCGUCAUAGACGACUAUUAGCUGCUGAACCUCCCUUCGCAGACCAUGACGAAAAGCAGUUAUCAAAGCAGUUUCGUUCCAACCACUCGUUGAAGCCAGAGUGCGAAAUCGGAGAGCAUAUAUGCUGACGGACUCCUCUCCUUGAUGACUAUGAUAUAACUGAUCAUGGACAGACAGUUCAGCGGUAUGAUGAACAAAAACAUCUUUCAUGUGAGCAAAGAAGGUGGAUAGUGAAGUCGUUACCGGAGUAUUUGUUUCCCAAAGGGGUUGAGCCCAUUGUAGCGCUCGUCCAGAGAGAAGCGAGAUGACGAAUGCAACGCGACCGCGUUCAUUCUGGAACAGGUGAGUGUUGGCCUCGAUGUAGAGCGAGCACUGAAGCAAAAGCCCGCUGCAAUCCUCCGCCGCGCCGCUGUAUGUUGCUGGUCGGGCCACGGGACUGGCAGAGGCAGCUGACGAAGUAGUCGUUGUUGCAGGUGGCUGCUGGAGUGCUUGCUGUACGGCCGUGAUGAUCUCGGGAGAAACAUGGGUUAGGCUCGUCGUGGGUUGUGGUAGUGAGGACCGUACAGCGUGAACUAGUGCAGCAAAUGGAUCCGCGGUGCGGUCCCCGCCUGUGUCCGGAGAGCUCUGCAUAUGGUCUGAUCUUCUGUCAGACACAAGACGGGAACACAGAGGUAGGUGAACGUGUAGCAGUAUUUAUUGUGACAGAGGUUUCAGACACAGGUGAAGCAACAGGAAUAGUCUUGACACUGUUGUGAAUAAUGAAGAAAUUGUGGAAUAACAGUUUAAUGUGCAACAAGCUAUACACACACACACACACACACACAUAUAUAUAUAUAUAUAUAUAUAUAUGUGUGUGUGUGUGUGUGUGUGUGUGUGUGUGUUCUUAUAUUUUAUUUGAAAAUAGUUUUUCUUGUUUUUAUUUGUAAAAACUCUUUAUCUUUGUAAAAUACUGAUACAGUCUGUGCUCCGUGAUUUUACAAUUUUAAGUUGUCUUUCCUUAUUGAAUUAUUAAAAAGCAUUGCAGUUUGUCCUGUUGUCACUGAAAUUACUGGUAACACUUUAUAAUAACUGCACGCUAUUAAUCAUUAGUUAAGCAUUAGGAAACAGUUAAUUCAGAA
Long non-coding RNA from Cyprinus carpio carpio, 3022 nucleotides. Lineage: Eukaryota; Metazoa; Chordata; Actinopteri; Cypriniformes; Cyprinidae. The record is from Ensembl.